This 982-nucleotide ribosomal RNA is filed under the name Bymainiella terraereginae. RNAcentral's name for it is "SSU rRNA". It matches the Rfam family "Eukaryotic small subunit ribosomal RNA", at positions 45 to 1027 of the family's 1831-position model. Lineage: Eukaryota; Metazoa; Arthropoda; Arachnida; Araneae; Hexathelidae. The record is from RNAcentral.
UAAGCCAUGCAUGUCUAAGUACAUGCCUCAUUAAGGCGAAACCGCGAAUGGCUCAUUAAAUCAGUUAUGGUUCCUUAGAUCGUACCUUACUACUUGGAUAACUGUGGUAAUUCUAGAGCUAAUACAUGCAUCAGAGCUCCGACCCUCUGGGGACGAGCGCUUUUAUUAGACCAAAACCAAUCGGACUUUGUCCGUAUCCUAUGGUGACUCUGUAUAACUUUGGGCUGAUCGCAUGGGCUUGUCCCGGCGACGCAUCUUUCAAGUGUCUGCCUUAUCAACUGUCGAUGGUAGGUUAUGCGCCUACCAUGGUCGUAACGGGUAACGGGGAAUCAGGGUUCGAUUCCGGAGAGGGAGCCUGAGAAACGGCUACCACAUCCAAGGAAGGCAGCAGGCGCGCAAAUUACCCACUCCCGGCACGGGGAGGUAGUGACGAAAAAUAACAAUACGGGACUCUUUUGAGACCCCGUAAUUGGAAUGAGUACACUCUAAAUCCUUUAACGAGGAUCUAUUGGAGGGCAAGUCUGGUGCCAGCAGCCGCGGUAAUUCCAGCUCCAAUAGCGUAUAUUAAAGUUGUUGCGGUUAAAAAGCUCGUAGUUGGAUCUCAGUUCCAGACGGGCGGUCCGCCUAACGGCGGUUACUGCCUGGCCUGAACAGCCAGCCGGUUUCCCUAGAUGAUCUUCACCGGUUGUCCUGGGUGACCGGCACGUUUACUUUGAAAAAAUUAGAGUGCUCAAAGCAGGCGUGUAGCCUGAAUAAUGGUGCAUGGAAUAAUGGAAUAGGACUUCGUUUCUAUUUUGUUGGUUUUCGGAAUACGAGGUAAUGAUUAAGAGGGACAGACGGGGGCAUUCGUAUUGCGACGCUAGAGGUGAAAUUCUUGGACCGUCGCAAGACGAACUACUGCGAAAGCAUUUGCCAAGAAUGUUUUCAUUAAUCAAGAACGAAAGUUAGAGGUUCGAAGGCGAUCAGAUACCGCCCUAGUUCU